Molecule: long non-coding RNA, 1348 nt
Organism: Scatophagus argus
Lineage: Eukaryota; Metazoa; Chordata; Actinopteri; Scatophagidae
Exons: 3
Source: RefSeq, a predicted model, not a curated record
ACUAAACCACUGUUGCAGGUAAAAUUUCUAUAUGUUGGAAUAUGGGUUAUUUCCCUUCUGAUAUUUAAAUUGAGUUACUUAACAUAGCCAGGGCAGUGUAUAGACAGAAGUUAUUCCCACAGCUUUUCUGUUUUGUUGCUGAAUUCUCACUCCACUUAAACAGUUUCCUGUCCUAUUCAGCCCAGAAGAAGGACUUGUACAAGUUUCAUUUUGCUUUUUUCUCAAGAAGAAUAGUAAGCUUAUGCUGCUGCUGUAUGCAUGCUGAACUCUGCUAUCAUCUCUGCAGCUGUGUGCUUCAUGCUGUCCUGUAAGUAACUGCUAACUUCCUGCUGUUGUGCUUCAUGUUGGACUGUGAGUAACUGCUAACUUCCUGCUGCUGUGCUUCAUGUUGGACUUUGCUAACAUCUUUGGUGCUGUGUACCUCAUGCAUGACUACUCUAAGAUCUCUGCUGCUGUGUGCUUCAUGUUGGACUAGCUGUGCAGCGAUCAGGCGGCGUGUUUGACCAUGACUCCUCAGCGCUGCCUCCCCUGCUCAGCCACAGUUCAAGACCAGAGGCUCGGUGCGUGGUUGAAUCCCCCUCACAGAUGGCUCUGUGUCGAGCGGCGACUGCUGCCCCAGACUCCCACAGAUGGAGGACGCAGGAGGGAAAAUGGCAGCGGUGUUUGAGCAAAGUGCCUUCACUCGCUUCCCCGUUCUGGACUUGAAAUGUCACGUGUGAGACGGUCAGAAAGACCGAUUCUGCUUGGACCAUGUGUGUCAUGUUGGGUGCACACAUGUUGUGUUUCUGUCUUCACUCGUUGCCAUCCCAACGCUCAGCGCUGUAUUGGAGGAGGACAGGAAGUGAAAAUAAUGUCAUCAUAUACAUGUGCUGUUUGGUUUGCAGAUUGUUUCAACUGGAAACAAACCUGUUUUUUAGCAGUCGUGCCAGGAGUGGUUUCAUAUUUUGUCAAAUUGAAAAGCAAAAUGAAAGAGUGUCGGAGUGAUUGAUGCUUUACCGUCUCUAAAGUAAUCUUUUACAUUCAUGAAUCAACAGUGUUCAGUGUCGAGUUAUUGAGUCAUCAGGCACUUCACUUUGAAUCAUCCAUCCUGGCAUACAUCUGUUGUGCAAGGGGAUUUCCUGUAAGAUAUGCAAAAGGUGAAUUUUCAGUUUUAUCGCUUCACUACAUUAAAUCCCAUUUAACCUGGACCGAUGUUUAACCCCUGAAAGGACAAACACUGGGGAAACUAGCUUGCAGAAGUGGGGAGGUUCUUUACUGUCACUCUCAUCUUACUACAGCAGAAAUAGACCUCAACACACACCUUGUGUUGUCCCUUAUUAUGGCCAACAGUCAUGAUGAAAUCGCUACA